RNAcentral lists this transfer RNA (73 nucleotides) under Cryptotermes bracketti. RNAcentral describes it as "tRNA-Ser". It matches the Rfam family "tRNA". Rfam says of the family: Transfer RNA (tRNA) molecules are approximately 80 nucleotides in length. Their secondary structure includes four short double-helical elements and three loops (D, anti-codon, and T loops). Lineage: Eukaryota; Metazoa; Arthropoda; Insecta; Blattodea; Kalotermitidae. The record is from RNAcentral.
AGUUAUAGAGCUACAUCAGAAAAGCAUGUGUUUUGAAAACACAAAGAAAGGAGUUAAAAUCUCCUAGUAACUU